This 497-nucleotide ribosomal RNA is filed under the name uncultured bacterium. Its description in RNAcentral is "partial 16S ribosomal RNA". It matches the Rfam family "Bacterial small subunit ribosomal RNA", at positions 28 to 507 of the family's 1533-position model. The record is from RNAcentral.
GAUGAACGCUGGCGGCGUGCCUAAUACAUGCAAGUCGAGCGAACGGACGAGAAGCUUGCUUCUUUGAUGUUAGCGGCGGACGGGUGAGUAACAUGUGGAUAAUCUACCUAUAUGACUGGGAUAAUUUCGGGAAACCGGAGCUAAUACCGGAUAAUAUUUUGCACCGUAUGGUUCAAAAGUGAAAGACGGUCUUGCUGUCACUAAUAGAUGGAUCUGCGCUGCAUUAGCUAGUUGGUAAGGUAACGGCUUAUCAAGGAAACGAUGCAUAGCCGAACGGAGAGGGUGAUCGGCCACACUAGAGCUGAGACACGGUCCAGACUCCUACGGGAGGCAGCAGUAGGGAAUCUUCCGCAGUGGGCGAAAGCCUGGCGGAGCAACGCCACGUGAGUGAUGAAGGUCUUCGGUUCGUGAAACUCUGUUAUUAGGGAAGAACAUAUGUGUAAGUAACUGUACACAUCUUGACGGUACCUAAUCAGGAAGCCACGGCUAACUACGUG